GUCCACACUGUAAACGAUGAAUGCUAGGUGUGGGGGUGCAAACCUCCGUGCCGCAGUUAACACAAUAAGCAUUCCACCUGGGGAGUACGGCCGCAAGGUUGAAACUCAAAGGAAUUGACGGGAGCCCCGCACAAGCAGUGGAGUAUGUGGUUUAAUUCGACGCAACGCGAAGAACCUUACCAGGUCUUGACAUCCAGAGAAGUCUGCGUAAUGGCGGAUGUGCCCUUCGGGGAAUUCUGAGACAGGUGGUGCAUGGUUGUCGU
RNAcentral lists this ribosomal RNA (263 nucleotides) under uncultured bacterium. RNAcentral's name for it is "partial 16S ribosomal RNA". It matches the Rfam family "Bacterial small subunit ribosomal RNA", at positions 793 to 1055 of the family's 1533-position model. The record is from RNAcentral.